Non-coding RNA from Microcebus murinus (gray mouse lemur), 4938 nucleotides. The record is from RefSeq and is a predicted model, not a curated record. Lineage: Eukaryota; Metazoa; Chordata; Mammalia; Primates; Cheirogaleidae.
GCGGCGGGCAGGCCAGGGCCUGGAAGGGGCGCUGCUUGAGGGGGAGGCAGGGAAUCAGGCCGUGGGGAUUAUGCAGAGGGGGCGCCAUCAAAUGGGGCAAAGAGAGCUCUGAAAACGCAUUGCCGGGUGAGGGGCCUUGCAGGACAAGAAAAGCAUGGGAAAUACACAGGGUGAGAGCAAAGGGACCUGUGAGGGCGGAGGGCACAGUCGGAUGGAAAAGUGAGGGGCACAAUGGUGCACACCGCUAGUGGAAGCCCAUAGCCCCGUCUGUGGCCAAAGAACUAUUAUGGGGCACCUUCGGGAGCAGGCUCAGGGGGCUGGGAUGCGAAGUAGGGGGGCGUUUAGCCCUAGAGGCCUGUGAUGCUUAAGGCGGGGGAGCAGUCAGGCUAAGAGAGACUGGGAAUAGGCUUUUAGAAAAGGAGGGGCCUGUCCGCUGGAUAUGGAUAGGAACACCAGGCCAGGUCCAGGGACCAGUGGCGGCAGGGGGUUGGUGCAGGACCUGGGAAUUCCAUUCUUUUCCUGAGGGAGCGCAGGCAUUCCAGGCUGUGGGUAUCUGAACCGGGAAGGACAGUGCGAGGUGGAGAAACGGGUACAGACGAGAGUGCUAGAGGAGGUGGGGCCGCUCUGGAGCCGCCUGUGCCUACCAGUUCGGAAGAGCCCCCAUCAUCCUAGGCCUACGUGCCUAGAGUCCUUUGCUGGGCGCGGAUCCUGCCGCCUGUCCGUGGUCCCGGAGUCAGGGAGGAAUGAUGUCAUCUCUGCCGGCGCGGAGGGGAGGGCAACGCGGGUGCACCGAGGCCAGGCCUAAGGGAGAAUAUGCUCCUUGGCCACCUCCCGGGGGGCUACCUGACUCUUGUCAGCCUGGCGACAGUGGGAUGGGAGACGCAGAGGCCUAGCCAGCUGGUAUAGAGAGAGGGGGAAGGGAGAGGGCACCCAGACUCUCUUUGCUUUCUCCCCUUGGAGUCCGAGAGCAGGAAUUAGAAGAAGGUAGGGCCUGUUAGGAACCUGAAAGUGUGGAUGCUGUAUUCUCUGAGCUCUGCUAGAGCUGAGCUCUCCAAGUUCUGAAGCUUUGGGGCUCCCUAAAGUUUCCUCCCUCUGUGUUAGGUGGGGUGGCCAGGAAUAGGUUCUACCCUUGGGCCCACAGCCUCUGCCUGACAUGCGUGCUUGGUGGCUUCCUGGGCAAGUAACCUGCCAUUACAGCAGCCAAGAUGGGCCUUGGCAGGGACCCAUCACCAUCUAUAUGCCACACCUUUUGGAGAAUGGUGGAGAGAAUCAUUAGUAGCCACCUAGUAGGAAAUAAGUGGAUUUUUACCCGUUUUGUGACUACUUAGUUCUAGAAACCAAAACAAAGAAGCUUUACAGAAGUGUACAAUAUUAAACUGGAGAGAGAAAUGCUGCAGGACUUUUUGUUAGCCUGAUUCCAUCAUUGGGUUACCUGGGAGACAGAAAAUCCUGGAGAGAAGUCCAUCCCAUAAACUUAAAGAAGGACUUUGGACUAGCUGAAGAGAACUUUCCUUUCUGAGUUCUCUUUCUAGCCAACGUGGCUUCUCAAACUAGAUUGUCCUUCCAGUUCUAAGCAUCUAAUCAAGAACCAAAAAAGAGAGUGGAUGAAGGAGGAGGAGGAGGAGGUUCAAAUGAACCAGGAGAAGAAAGCUAUGAGUUGGUUGUCAUCUCCCAUCUGGGGUCCCUUAGAAGGGAGGCAAUAACUGUCCAAGAAAAAGAGAGCAGGAUGAGGCCCACCAGGUUCUGUUAGUUGUCCUUGGUGCCUCUGUUAUUGCCUGAAGUUCUGAGUAGUGGUUUGGCUGGGUGGAGGAGUCUUGAGCUGUUUCUGGUCUGUGUGGCCCUGGAGUAGAAGUACUGGUGGCAAGGAGGCACUUAGAAAAACUGUGGCUGCCUUCAGACCCUUUUAUGGAGGACUAAAGUAAUCCCUGUGUGCAAGAGAAUACUUUGUUCAGGUUGAGUAAGAGCCUUAUGGAAAUAGCAAAAUAGUCAUCCCCCAUUUGGUGGACAUAAACAUUUCUCUGCUUCUUGACCUCUGUCCCCAGGUUGUAGUCUAGAGGCACCCUAAAACUCCUUAAAUUACCUGUUUGUUGUUGAGACCAGUAGAAUCUUGCAUGGCAUUUCCCCAGGAACCUUCACUUUGGGGCAUAAGGAAUCAAGAUAGCAUACCAUGGGGGUAAAAGGCAGAAGAGAGGGCAAAAUGGCUGUUUGUGGGUAUUUGGGUAGAUCAUAAAAACUAGAAUCCCAGGCUCAGACUCAGCUAUGAUCUGUUUUCAUUUUUGCCAUUAUUUAUUGAGACCUCUUAAGUCUCUCUUCUUCCCUAGACUGUUUUCUCAUUUAUGAAGAAAAACUAUUUAAAUAAUAGAUUCCCACUCCCCAUCCCAAAGACUAUCAUAAAUACCUGAUGCCAUUGAUUUGGCAGAUUGAUUCACCAAAUAAUUGUUGAGCAUCUGCUCUAUUCCAGGUACUACACUAAGUAUUAGGGACAGUGGUUAGCAACACAGACACAGAUGUGGUCCUGCCCUCGUGGAGUUCACAUUUCAUAAAAAGCUUAUUUCUUUAUUCCUUCAAUGUGAGCCCCCUUGAGGGCAGAGCAGGGGCUGCCUUCUUAAGUCCCAAGGAAGUAGGUAAUUGUUGGUGCUAUUAGCAUCAUUACCCCUUUCUGGACCAAGCUGUAUGGAGAGAGGCCUGUUAUAUGGGCUCCAUAAUCAGAUAACUCUCUCCAACCCAUAGUAGUGGAAAGGAUCUAGAGGCAUUCCUUAUUUAGAAAGAUAAACUCUAGGGGGAGCACAUCUUUUUUUUUUUUUUUACUUGAAAGAGAAACUCAAGCUUGGAAAGGAGGCCUGGGGGAGUGGCAGGAGCUGGGAGAGAAGGCAUAGCCAGAUCUGGGUGUUUCCAAGGUGCUAAUUUAAGCAUUAGUUCUCAGCUAGUGGGAGGAAAAGGAAGAGAUCUCUGCCAUGUUAUUGCUGCUGCUGUUGUCACAGCUGCAUGAAGCCUCCUGUCUGGCUGGGGUGGGAGUUUGCCUAAAGGGAAUAGCUUACCUCCUUUCCAUAUCACACCAAUUAUUUAAUUGGCCUGGCUGCAUCUCAGCAGCUGAACCAGGCCUGGGCCUAUCCCUGAUAACUCCCCAGGGUCUCUUGCUGUCUCCUUAUGAAAACAAUAAGAGCUCCUCUUAGAGACCUGUCCACUGAGCUCCGUUCCUGCUGUGUCUAUCUCCCAGGUAAUCCUGAGUGGUUUUGAGCACAGAUACUCCCAAAGAAACUGCCAGGGAUAGGCACACUGAGUGUGUCAGCUCUGUGGCCAAGCCAUAUACCACACUGAUCUAGAGAAGCUCCCAAUAGCCCAAGGCUCUCUGUUGAGCAGUUGGGUCAUGUUUGGGCUGUUGUUUGAGUAACAGGUAUAGGCUCUCUGGCCUUAUUUUCUGCUCAGCUGGUUGGUAUAGCUGCACAGUCUAUAUCUUCUCUUUGGCAGCAAUUGGAAAGGAAGAAAUUUGUUGCAAGAAAAACAAAUGGAGCUUUUAAGCACUUAAUUGUGUCAGGCAACACCCUGCCUCCUGUGCUCUCAGAGGCCAGAGAGACUUAAAGAAUGACAUAUGGCACCAGACAGGGUCUCUGCAUACUUGAGAGAAAUGCUAAACUGGCCUCACUGAAACCAGGUUAUCUGUUAACACUCUUUAGUUUAUGAGCAUUAGCUAUGUAUCUUCUCAGUUCCAGGUACUUUAAGGAUACAGAGACAAGCAAGAUCUCUCCAGCAGAUGGCCAGGAGAAGGAUGGGCUCACAUGGGUAUAGGAGGGUUUUUAGAUACAUAUCAGAAACGAGUGGAGAUCAAUGGAAGGUAUUUCUGAGAAAGAGUGCACCUCCCUUGAGAGAAGGUGAAGAAUGCCAAGGUUUUGACCCUUUGACUACAUGAGCUUGGAAAGGAGUUUCAGGCUCUUACUGCCUCCUGUCAUUCAGGGAUGGGGAUGGUUAGGACCGGACAUUAAUUCAAUAAAUGGGCCACAGAAGCUCCUGAAGGAGGCAGAGAGACCAUAAUAAAGAGAGCAAGUAGCCACUAUAGAAAAUUGACCUACAUGUAUUCUAUGGUCUAGGCACCUUAAAUUGCCUCCUUGUAGCCAGAUGACUUUUCUAUUUAAGGGUGGAUUCUUAUAGUGGGUCCAUGUGGCUUGUGACCCAGUAGUAUUUCUCAGGCUCCUGGGGAGAGGCACACCCUUCUCUCCCUGUGUUGCAAACUGAGGAUCAGGUUUGGCCAGGCCUUUAGCCCCUUAUUACUCAUCUCCUCAUCCAACAAACACUGAGUAAGAACCUACUCUCUGGUAGGUGUUGUGCUAGGUUCAAUAAGACAGAAUCUUGCUCCAGGAACUUGCACAGUCUAGCACAGCUGGAGGCAUUAUAGGAUAGUGAACAAUGCAAGAGAAGUAAGAACCAGGCCCGGUAGGCCCAAAGGAAAACAAGAAGAGCUCUUAUAAAGUGAUCAGGAAGGCUUCACAGAGGAGGCAUUGCUGAACUGGCCCUUGAAAGAGUACUAGAAGCUUGGCAGACUGACAAAAUGAGGUGAAGGCAAGAAUUCCAGGCAAAAGAAACUAAAGGGUGCAUUUGGAAUAAAUGAAGUGUAAUUAAGGGACUAACAUGAUCAAAUUUGAGUUUCAGUUAUCAUUCCAGUGGUGGAUGAGAGAUUGUAGAAGAUGAGAUUGGAAGUUGGAAAACUAAUACAGAGGGAACCCUGGAGUCCUGGAAAGCCAAAGGUCAGAGUGGCACUGGCCCCACAGCCUCAAAAGGGCUGCUGAGAAGUCUGCUCCCUGCCAGCGAAUACCUUUCCCCUACAAGCUGCUUUGAUGAAUGCAAGAGAACUGGUGGUGGCAAGGACUCAUAAUGGGUUUUUAUUGUUGUUUUUCUUUCCAGCAGUACUUUUCUGAAGGAAAAAUAAAAUCCUUUGUUGUCUGA